This 468-nucleotide ribosomal RNA is filed under the name uncultured bacterium. RNAcentral's name for it is "partial 16S ribosomal RNA". It matches the Rfam family "Bacterial small subunit ribosomal RNA", at positions 28 to 507 of the family's 1533-position model. The record is from RNAcentral.
GACGAACGCUGGCGGCGUGCUUAACACAUGCAAGUCGAACGGAAAGGCCCUGCUUUUGUGGGGUGCUCGAGUGGCGAACGGGUGAGUAACACGUGAGUAACCUGCCCUUGACUUUGGGUUAACUUCAGGAAACUGGGGCUAAUACCGGAUAGGAGCUCCUGCUGCAUGGUGGGUGUUGGAAAGUUUCGGUGGUUGGGGAUGGACUCGCGGCUUAUCAGCUUGGUGGUGGGGUAGUGGCUUACCAAGGCUUUGACGGGUAGCCGGCAUGAGAGGGUGACCGGCCACAAUGGGACUAAGAUACGGACCAGACUGGUACGGGAGACAGCAGGGGGGAGUAUUGCACAGUGGGGGGGAGUCUGAGGCAGCAGCGUCGCGUGCGUGAUGACCGCCUGCGGGGUGUAAACCGCUUUCGCCUGUGACGAAGCGGGAGUGACGGUAAUGGGUAAAGAAGCACCGGCUAACUACGUG